Molecule: ribosomal RNA, 1329 nt
Filed under: Arthrobacter sp.
Lineage: Bacteria; Bacillati; Actinomycetota; Actinomycetes; Micrococcales; Micrococcaceae
Description: bacterial SSU rRNA
Rfam family: Bacterial small subunit ribosomal RNA
Source: RNAcentral
CUUGCUGGGGGAUUAGUGGCGAACGGGUGAGUAACACGUGAGUAACCUGCCCUUGACUCUGGGAUAAGCCUGGGAAACUGGGUCUAAUACCGGAUACGACCAUCUGACGCAUGUCAUGGUGGUGGAAAGCUUUUGCGGUUUUGGAUGGACUCGCGGCCUAUCAGCUUGUUGGUGGGGUAAUGGCCUACCAAGGCGACGACGGGUAGCCGGCCUGAGAGGGUGACCGGCCACACUGGGACUGAGACACGGCCCAGACUCCUACGGGAGGCAGCAGUGGGGAAUAUUGCACAAUGGGCGAAAGCCUGAUGCAGCGACGCCGCGUGAGGGAUGACGGCCUUCGGGUUGUAAACCUCUUUCAGUAGGGAAGAAGCGAAAGUGACGGUACCUGCAGAAGAAGCGCCGGCUAACUACGUGCCAGCAGCCGCGGUAAUACGUAGGGCGCAAGCGUUAUCCGGAAUUAUUGGGCGUAAAGAGCUCGUAGGCGGUUUGUCGCGUCUGCUGUGAAAGACCGGGGCUCAACUCCGGUUCUGCAGUGGGUACGGGCAGACUAGAGUGCAGUAGGGGAGACUGGAAUUCCUGGUGUAGCGGUGAAAUGCGCAGAUAUCAGGAGGAACACCGAUGGCGAAGGCAGGUCUCUGGGCUGUAACUGACGCUGAGGAGCGAAAGCAUGGGGAGCGAACAGGAUUAGAUACCCUGGUAGUCCAUGCCGUAAACGUUGGGCACUAGGUGUGGGGGACAUUCCACGUUUUCCGCGCCGUAGCUAACGCAUUAAGUGCCCCGCCUGGGGAGUACGGCCGCAAGGCUAAAACUCAAAGGAAUUGACGGGGGCCCGCACAAGCGGCGGAGCAUGCGGAUUAAUUCGAUGCAACGCGAAGAACCUUACCAAGGCUUGACAUGAACCGGAAAGACCUGGAAACAGGUGCCCCGCUUGCGGUCGGUUUACAGGUGGUGCAUGGUUGUCGUCAGCUCGUGUCGUGAGAUGUUGGGUUAAGUCCCGCAACGAGCGCAACCCUCGUUCUAUGUUGCCAGCGCGUUAUGGCGGGGACUCAUAGGAGACUGCCGGGGUCAACUCGGAGGAAGGUGGGGACGACGUCAAAUCAUCAUGCCCCUUAUGUCUUGGGCUUCACGCAUGCUACAAUGGCCGGUACAAAGGGUUGCGAUACUGUGAGGUGGAGCUAAUCCCAAAAAGCCGGUCUCAGUUCGGAUUGGGGUCUGCAACUCGACCCCAUGAAGUCGGAGUCGCUAGUAAUCGCAGAUCAGCAACGCUGCGGUGAAUACGUUCCCGGGCCUUGUACACACCGCCCGUCAAGUCACGAAAGUUGGUAACAC